This 61-nucleotide transfer RNA is filed under the name Lagria rufipennis. RNAcentral's name for it is "tRNA-Cys". Lineage: Eukaryota; Metazoa; Arthropoda; Insecta; Coleoptera; Tenebrionidae. The record is from RNAcentral.
AGGUUUUAUAGUCAAUUAUGAUUUUAAAUUGCAAAUUUAAAGGUGAAAUUUCUAAAGCCUU